This 75-nucleotide transfer RNA is filed under the name Haliscomenobacter hydrossis DSM 1100. Its description in RNAcentral is "tRNA-Arg (CCG) (tRNA-Arg-CCG-1-1)". It matches the Rfam family "tRNA". Rfam says of the family: Transfer RNA (tRNA) molecules are approximately 80 nucleotides in length. The record is from RNAcentral. RNAcentral also lists the same sequence under 1 other name. Lineage: Bacteria; Pseudomonadati; Bacteroidota; Saprospiria; Saprospirales; Haliscomenobacteraceae.
GGCUUCGUAGUACAACGGAUAGUAUGUAGGUUUCCGGAACCUAAGAUAGUGGUUCGAUUCCACUCGAGGCUACCA